RNAcentral lists this ribosomal RNA (427 nucleotides) under uncultured bacterium. RNAcentral describes it as "partial 16S ribosomal RNA". It matches the Rfam family "Bacterial small subunit ribosomal RNA", at positions 355 to 774 of the family's 1533-position model. The record is from RNAcentral.
UGGGGAAUAUUGCACAAUGGGCGCAAGCCUGAUGCAGCCAUGCCGCGUGUAUGAAGAAGGCCUUCGGGUUGUAAAGUACUUUCAGCGGGGAGGAAGGCGAUAAGGUUAAUAACCUUGUCGAUUGACGUUACCCGCAGAAGAAGCACCGGCUAACUCCGUGCCAGCAGCCGCGGUAAUACGGAGGGGGCAAGCGUUAAUCGGAAUUACUGGGCGUAAAGCGCACGCAGGCGGUCUGUCAAGUCGGAUGUGAAAUCCCCGGGCUCAACCUGGGAACUGCAUUCGAAACUGGCAGGCUAGAGUCUUGUAGAGGGGGGUAGAAUUCCAGGUGUAGCGGUGAAAUGCGUAGAGAUCUGGAGGAAUACCGGUGGCGAAGGCGGCCCCCUGGACAAAGACUGACGCUCAGGUGCGAAAGCGUGGGUAGCAAACA